UACCCGCAGCACAAGUGGUGGUCAUUAUUAUUGGGCCUAAAGCGUCCGUAGCUGGCCUGUUAGAUGCCUGGGUAAAUCGAUGCGCUUAACGUAUCGAAUUCCGGGUAGACCGGCAGGCUCGAGACCGGGAGAGGUGUAGGCUACUCGGGGGGUAGGGGUAAAAUCCUGUAAUCCUCCGGGGAGGACCAGUGGCGAAGGCGCUACACUAGAACGGCUCUGACAGUGAGGGACGAAGCCCUGGGGCGCAAACCGG
Molecule: ribosomal RNA, 253 nt
Filed under: uncultured bacterium
Lineage: Bacteria
Description: partial 16S ribosomal RNA
Rfam family: Archaeal small subunit ribosomal RNA
Source: RNAcentral